This 897-nucleotide ribosomal RNA is filed under the name Septoria lysimachiae. RNAcentral's name for it is "LSU rRNA". It matches the Rfam family "Eukaryotic large subunit ribosomal RNA", at positions 38 to 964 of the family's 3401-position model. RNAcentral also lists the same sequence under 2 other names. The record is from RNAcentral. Lineage: Eukaryota; Fungi; Ascomycota; Dothideomycetes; Mycosphaerellales; Mycosphaerellaceae.
GCAUAUCAAUAAGCGGAGGAAAAGAAACCAACAGGGAUUGCCCUAGUAACGGCGAGUGAAGCGGCAACAGCUCAAAUUUGAAAUCUGGCGCAAGCCCGAGUUGUAAUUUGUAGAGGAUGCUUCUGGGUAGCGACCGAUCUAAGUUCCUUGGAACAGGACGUCAUAGAGGGUGAGAAUCCCGUAUGUGACCGGCCCGCACCCUUUACGUAGCUCCUUCGACGAGUCGAGUUGUUUGGGAAUGCAGCUCUAAAUGGGAGGUAAAUUUCUUCUAAAGCUAAAUACCGGCCAGAGACCGAUAGCGCACAAGUAGAGUGAUCGAAAGAUGAAAAGUACUUUGGAAAGAGAGUUAAAAAGCACGUGAAAUUGUUGAAAGGGAAGCGCCUGCAACCAGACUUCGCGGCAGUGUUCCGCCGGUCUUCUGACCGGUUCAUUCUCUGUCGCGAGGCCAUCAUCGUCUGGGCCCGCCGGAUAAGACCUUAGGAAUGUAGCUCACCUUCGGGGGAGUGUUAUAGCCUAGGGUGAUGCGGCGAGGCUCGGGCGAGGUCCGCGCUUCGGCAAGGAUGAUGGCGUAAUGGUUGUCGGCGGCCCGUCUUGAAACACGGACCAAGGAGUCUAACAUCUAUGCGAGUGUUCGGGUGUCAAACCCCUACGCGUAAUGAAAGUGAACGGAGGUGGGAACCGCAAGGUGCACCAUCGACCGAUCCUGAUGUCCUCGGAUGGAUUUGAGUAAGAGCAUAGCUGUUGGGACCCGAAAGAUGGUGAACUAUGCCUGAAUAGGGUGAAGCCAGAGGAAACUCUGGUGGAGGCUCGCAGCGGUUCUGACGUGCAAAUCGAUCGUCAAAUUUGGGUAUAGGGGCGAAAGACUAAUCGAACCAUCUAGUAGCUGGUUCCUGCCGA